GUGGGGAAUUUUCCGCAAUGGGCGAAAGCCUGACGGAGCAAUACCGCGUGAGGGAGGAAGGCUCUUGGGUUGUAAACCUCUUUUCUCAGGGAAUAAUAAUGAAGGUACCUGAGGAAUCAGCAUCGGCUAACUCCGUGCCAGCAGCCGCGGUAAUACGGAGGAUGCAAGCGUUAUCCGGAAUGAUUGGGCGUAAAGGGUCCGCAGGUGGCAGUGUAAGUCUGCUGUUAAAGAGUCUGGCUCAACCAGAUCAAGGCAGUGGAAACUACACAGCUAGAGUGAGGUAGGGGCAGAGGGAAUUCCUGGUGUAGCGGUGAAAUGCGUAGAGAUCAGGAAGAACACCGGUGGCGAAAGCGCUCUGCUAGACCAAUACUGACACUGAGGGACGAAAGCUAGGGGAGCGAAUGGGAUUAGAUACCCCAGUAGUCCUAGCCGUAAACGAUGGAUACUAGGCGUUGCUUGUAUCGACCCGAGCAGUGCCGUAGCUAACGCGUUAAGUAUCCCGCCUGGGGAGUACGCACGCAAGUG
This 525-nucleotide ribosomal RNA is filed under the name uncultured cyanobacterium. Its description in RNAcentral is "bacterial SSU rRNA". It matches the Rfam family "Bacterial small subunit ribosomal RNA", at positions 354 to 894 of the family's 1533-position model. The record is from RNAcentral. Lineage: Bacteria; Bacillati; Cyanobacteriota.